CCUACGGGAGGCAGCAGUGAGGAAUAUUGGUCAAUGGUCGUAAGCCUGAACCAGCCAAGUCGCGUGAGGGAUGAAGGCCCUAUGGAUUGUAAACUUCUUUUAUACGGGAAUAAAGUGCGGGACGUGUCCUAUUUUGUAUGUACCUCAUGAAUAAGGACCGGCUAAUUCCGUGCCAGCAGCCGCGGUAAUACGGAGGAUCCGAGCGUUAUCCGGAUUUAUUGGGUUUAAAGGGAGCGUAGGCGGCCUGUUAAGCCGGCGGUGAAAUUCCGUGGCUCAACCAUGGAACUGCGGUGGAAACUGGGGGGCUUGAGUGUGUGGAAGGGAGGCGGAAUGCGUGGUGUAGCGGUGAAAUGCUUAGAUAUCACGAAGAACCCCGAUUGCGAAGGCAGCAUACGGAAGCGUGACUGACGCUGAUGCACGAAGGCGUGGGGAUCGAACAGGAUUAGAUACCCGGGUAGUC
RNAcentral lists this ribosomal RNA (460 nucleotides) under uncultured bacterium. Its description in RNAcentral is "partial 16S ribosomal RNA". It matches the Rfam family "Bacterial small subunit ribosomal RNA", at positions 338 to 795 of the family's 1533-position model. The record is from RNAcentral.